CAGCACCUCAAGUGGUCAGGAUGAUUAUUGGGCCUAAAGCAUCCGUAGCCGGCGCUGUAAGUUUUCGGUUAAAUCUGUACGCUCAACGUACAGGCUGCCGGGAAUACUGCAGCGCUAGGGAGUGGGAGAGGUAGACGGUACUCGGUAGGAAGGGGUAAAAUCCUUUGAUCUAUUGAUGACCACCUGUGGCGAAGGCGGUCUACCAGAACACGUCCGACGGUGAGGGAUGAAAGCUGGGGGAGUAAACCGGAUUAGAUACCCGCGUAGUCC
Molecule: ribosomal RNA, 270 nt
Filed under: uncultured archaeon
Lineage: Archaea
Description: partial 16S ribosomal RNA
Rfam family: Archaeal small subunit ribosomal RNA
Source: RNAcentral